This 899-nucleotide ribosomal RNA is filed under the name Cortinarius pholideus. RNAcentral's name for it is "eukaryotic LSU rRNA". It matches the Rfam family "Eukaryotic large subunit ribosomal RNA", at positions 72 to 947 of the family's 3401-position model. The record is from RNAcentral. Lineage: Eukaryota; Fungi; Basidiomycota; Agaricomycetes; Agaricales; Cortinariaceae.
GGAUUCCCCUAGUAACUGCGAGUGAAGCGGGAAAAGCUCAAAUUUAAAAUCUGGCAGUCUUUUGGCUGUCCGAGUUGUAAUCUAGAGAAGUGUUAUCCGCGCUGGACCGUGUACAAGUCUCCUGGAAUGGAGCAUCAUAGAGGGUGAGAAUCCCGUCUUUGACAUGGACUGCCAGGGCUUUUGUGAUGCGCUCUCAAAGAGUCGAGUUGUUUGGGAAUGCAGCUCAAAAUGGGUGGUAAAUUCCAUCUAAAGCUAAAUAUUGGCGAGAGACCGAUAGCGAACAAGUACCGUGAGGGAAAGAUGAAAAGAACUUUGGAAAGAGAGUUAAACAGUACGUGAAAUUGCUGAAAGGGAAACGCUUGAAGUCAGUCGCGUCGUCCAGGGAUCAACCUUGCUUUUGCUUGGUGCACUUCCUGGUUUGACGGGUCAGCAUCAAUUUUGACCAUUGGAAAAAGGUUGAGGGAAUGUGGCAUCUUUGGAUGUGUUUAUAGCCCUUGGUCGCAUACAAUGGUUUGGGAUUGAGGAACUCAGCACGCCGCAAGGCCGGGUUUUAAACCACGUACGUGCUUAGGAUGCUGACAUAUAUAAUGGCUUUAAUCGACCCGUCUUGAAACACGGACCAAGGAGUCUAACAUGCCUGCGAGUGUUUGGGUGAAAAACCCGAGCGCGUAAUGAAAGUGAAAAGUUGAGAUCCCUGUCGUGGGGAGCAUCGACGCCCGGACCAGACCUUUUGUGACGGUUCCGCGGUGGAGCAUGUAUGUUGGGACCCGAAAGAUGGUGAACUAUGCCUGAAUAGGGUGAAUCCAGAGGAAACUCUGGUGGAGGCUCGUAGCGAUUCUGACGUGCAAAUCGAUCGUCAAAUUUGGGUAUAGGGGCGAAAGACUAAUCGAACCAUCUAG